RNAcentral lists this long non-coding RNA (498 nucleotides) under Actinidia chinensis (golden kiwifruit). Its description in RNAcentral is "long non-coding RNA (ACHI_LNC005508)". Lineage: Eukaryota; Viridiplantae; Streptophyta; Magnoliopsida; Ericales; Actinidiaceae. The record is from RNAcentral.
CAGCAGUUUUGAUGGAGGCCCAAGUAAGUUCAAAUUGCCGUGAUUUGUUGGGGAUGCUUGCUGGAUGUUCUAUGUUGGUAGAGAUGAUUGUUGGAGUUUCAUAUGGUGUGAAUUGCGUAUGAAAUGACACUUUUGUGUUGUUUUCUCUAUCCACACAAGUUAUGUAUUAUAUACGUACAGAUUAAGUUAAAAAGUGGGCCAACAUUGUGUGUCAAAUUUGGGUUUAGUUGAGUUAAUAUGGGGUUAUAUUAGUUUAAAUUUAUGAAUAUAACGGGGUGGGGGUGGGGGGUGGGAGGGGGAGAGAGAGAGAAGGUAAGAUAAGAAAGAGCGUAAAAAGGUCUUUCUAUAUCUGCCGGUUAACGGAGUCAAUUUAGCAAUUUAAUCCAAAACCACAGGCAGCCAACAAAGCUAUUUUUAAAGGUCAGGGAGGCAACGUGCUCCAAGCCUAAACCACGAAGAGGUAAAAUUAAUUUUUCCCUCAAAUUAAUCCCCAUUCAC